Molecule: ribosomal RNA, 229 nt
Filed under: uncultured soil bacterium
Lineage: Bacteria
Description: partial 16S ribosomal RNA
Rfam family: Bacterial small subunit ribosomal RNA
Source: RNAcentral
AGAACGAACGCUGGCGGCAUGCCUAAUACAUGCAAGUCGAACGAACUCUUCGGAGUUAGUGGCGCGCGGGUGCGUAACGCGUGGGAAUCUGCCCCUUGGUUCGGAAUAACAGUUGGAAACGACUGCUAAUACCGGAUGAUGACGAAAGCCCAAAGAUUUAUCGCCAAGGGAUGAGCCCGCGUAGGAUUAGCUAGUUGGUGAGGUAAAGGCUCACCAAGGCCUACGAUCC